GACGGAGGGGGCUAGCGUUGUUCGGAAUUACUGGGCGUAAAGAGUGCGUAGGCGGGUCUUUAAGUCAGGGGUGAAAUCCUGGAGCUCAACUCCAGAACUGCCUUUGAUACUGAGGAUCUUGAGUUCGGGAGAGGUGAGUGGAACUCCGAGUGUAGAGGUGAAAUUCGUAGAUAUUCGGAAGAACACCAGUGGCGAAGGCGGCUCACUGGCCCGGUACUGACGCUGAGAUACGAAAGCGUGGGGAGCAAACAGG
This 253-nucleotide ribosomal RNA is filed under the name uncultured bacterium. RNAcentral describes it as "partial 16S ribosomal RNA". It matches the Rfam family "Bacterial small subunit ribosomal RNA", at positions 524 to 776 of the family's 1533-position model. The record is from RNAcentral.